GUCCUCGUCGUCCAACGGAUAGGACGCAAGCCUCCGGAGCUUGAAAUCCGGGUUCGAAUCCCAGCGAGGACGCCA
RNAcentral lists this transfer RNA (75 nucleotides) under bacterium. RNAcentral's name for it is "tRNA-Arg". It matches the Rfam family "tRNA". From Rfam's summary of the family: Transfer RNA (tRNA) molecules are approximately 80 nucleotides in length. Their secondary structure includes four short double-helical elements and three loops (D, anti-codon, and T loops). Further hydrogen bonds mediate the characteristic L-shaped molecular structure. tRNAs have two regions of fundamental functional importance: the anti-codon, which is responsible for specific mRNA codon recognition, and the 3' end, to which the tRNAs corresponding amino acid is attached (by aminoacyl-tRNA synthetases). tRNAs cope with the degeneracy of the genetic code in two manners: having more than one tRNA (with a specific anti-codon) for a particular amino acid; and 'wobble' base-pairing, i.e. permitting non-standard base-pairing at the 3rd anti-codon position. The record is from RNAcentral.